AUCUAUCUAUAUUAGUUUGCAAACUCUCUAUAUAAAAAGAAGAUGUGGUAUGAUUGCCAACGAGAAAACUCACAAGAGACCACACGACACAGAAAUCAACAACUAUAGGUCAGCGUAUGGCAAUCAUCAAUGAGCAAAUUAAAGCCCAUCCCGCAUAGUCAGCUAUUAAAGACAUCGAAAUGACAAAUGUCAAACAAGAAAAUAACGGCCUAAUUUAUGAACGAAAAACAAAUAUGUAAAACAGCUACAAAAUAGUUUCUUUAGAAUUAUAUUAUUUUAUUAUUUUAUAUAAAAAUCAUCAAAGGUACAAGUUUUAUAAUUUUGUACGUUAGACGCUGAUUUCAUCUU
This 348-nucleotide long non-coding RNA is filed under the name Mytilus galloprovincialis (Mediterranean mussel). Lineage: Eukaryota; Metazoa; Mollusca; Bivalvia; Mytilida; Mytilidae. The record is from RNAcentral.